UACGGGGGGGGCAAGCGUUGUUCGGAAUUACUGGGCGUAAAGGGUUCGUAGGUGGCCUACUAAGUCAUACGUGAAAUCCCUCAGCUUAACUGGGGAACUGCGUCUGAGACUGGAAGGCUUGAGUGCAGGAGAGGAACGCGGAAUUCCAGGUGUAGCGGUGAAAUGCGUAGAUAUCUGGAGGAACACCGGUGGCGAAGGCGGGUAGCUGGGCCGACACUGACGCUGAGGCGCGAAAGCCAGGGGAGCGAACGGG
This 253-nucleotide ribosomal RNA is filed under the name uncultured bacterium. Its description in RNAcentral is "partial 16S ribosomal RNA". It matches the Rfam family "Bacterial small subunit ribosomal RNA", at positions 524 to 776 of the family's 1533-position model. The record is from RNAcentral.